This is a long non-coding RNA of Nothoprocta perdicaria, 468 nucleotides long. RefSeq lists it as uncharacterized. The transcript has 2 exons. Lineage: Eukaryota; Metazoa; Chordata; Aves; Tinamiformes; Tinamidae. The record is from RefSeq and is a predicted model, not a curated record.
AAGACUUAGCAGGUUCAGUUCCUACUCUGCUCUCUCUACAGAGUAAAGGCAAAUUUGGCCAGGGGUCCAAGCAAUUGCAAGUCGAAAUGGCUGUCACUGUGCGUCCAGAUCUCCAUCCCUUUUAGGGAAUAACGUUAUGAUGGAGACAAGGUAACUUUGACGUGGAUUAUUUAGUGCUUGGCUUGUUUACUAGUUCAGAAAAAUAAUUCCAGUUGCUCUGUGUUCAGGGCUUUAUUCCAGUUGCCCUGUGUUCAGGGCUUUCUUCACUUGCAGAUAGAAAGAAAAUGUCUGAGCUUCCAAACAAAACUGGUCUCUAGUAAAGGCAUUGGUCCUCUGAAGCUGCAAGUAUGGAUAGAUUGUGAUUUAAUUCUUGUUUCCAAAUGAUAUGUCUGCUGCUUAUACUCCAGAGAGGAAAGAGCAUUUUUUUUUCCUAUGGGAUCAAAUACAAAGCUGCUCUGUUGCAUGGAC